Molecule: ribosomal RNA, 1079 nt
Filed under: Bacillus sp. (in: firmicutes)
Lineage: Bacteria; Bacillati; Bacillota; Bacilli; Caryophanales; Bacillaceae
Description: bacterial SSU rRNA
Rfam family: Bacterial small subunit ribosomal RNA
Source: RNAcentral
GCUAUAAUGCAGUCGAGCGGACAGAUGGGAGCUUGCUCCCUGAUGUUAGCGGCGGACGGGUGAGUAACACGUGGGUAACCUGCCUGUAAGACUUGGAUUACUCCGGGAAACCGGGGCUAAUACCGGAUGGUUGUCUGAACCGCAUGGUUCAGACAUAAAAGGUGGCUUCGGCUACCACUUACAGAUGGACCCGCGGCGCAUUAGCUAGUUGGUGAGGUAACGGCUCACCAAGGCGACGAUGCGUAGCCGACCUGAGAGGGUGAUCGGCCACACUGGGACUGAGACACGGCCCAGACUCCUACGGGUGGCAGCAGUAGGGAAUCUUCCGCAAUGGACGAAAGUUUGACGGAGCAACGCCGCGUGAGUGAUGAAGGUUUUCGGAUCGUAAAGCUCUGUUGUUAGGGAAGAACAAGUGCCGUUCAAAUAGGGCGGCACCUUGACGGUACCUAACCAGAAAGCCACGGCUAACUACGUGCCAGCAGCCGCGGUAAUACGUAGGUGGCAAGCGUUGUCCGGAAUUAUUGGGCGUUAAGGGCUCGCAGGCGGUUUCUUAAGUCUGAUGUGAAAUCCCCCGGCUCAACCGGGGAGGGUCAUUGGAAACUGGGGAACUUGAGUGCAGAAGAGGAGAGUGGAAUUCCACGUGUAGCGGUGAAAUGCGUAGAGAUGUGGAGGAACACCAGUGGCGAAGGCGACUCUCUGGUCUGUAACUGACGCUGAGGAGCGAAAGCGUGGGGAGCGAACAGGAUUAGAUACCCUGGUAGUCCACGCCGUAAACGAUGAGUGCUAAGUGUUAGGGGGUUUCCGCCCCUUAGUGCUGCAGCUAACGCAUUAAGCACUCCGCCUGGGGAGUACGGUCGCAAGACUGAAACUCAAGGAUUUGACGGGGGCCCGCACAAGCGGUGGAGCAUGUGGGUUUAAUUCGAAGCAACGCGAAGACUCUUACCAGGUCUUGACAUCCUCUGACAAUUCCUAGAGAUAGGACGUCCCCUUUCGGGGGCAGAGUGACAGGUGGUGCAUGAUUGUCGUCAGCUCGUGUCUUGAGAUGUUGGGUUAAGUCUCGCAACGAGCGCAACCCUUGA